UGAGGAAUAUUGGUCAAUGGGGGCAACCCUGAACCAGCCAUGCCGCGUGAAGGAUUAAGGCCCUACGGGUUGUAAACUUCUUUUGUUCGCGACGAAACUUAGGUACGUGUACCUAACUGACGGUACCGAAUGAAUAAGCAACGGCUAACUCCGUGCCAGCAGCCGCGGUAAUACGGAGGUUGCAAGCGUUAUCCGGAUUUAUUGGGUUUAAAGGGUGCGUAGGCGGAUUUGUAAGUCAGUGGUGAAAUCCUGCAGCUUAACUGUAGAACUGCCAUUGAUACUGCUAAUCUUGAGUACAAUUGAGGUAGGCGGAAUGUGUAGUGUAGCGGUGAAAUGCUUAGAUAUUACACAGAACACCGAUUGCGAAGGCAGCUUACUAAACUGUAACUGACGCUGAGGCACGAAAGCAUGGGGAGCAAACAGG
Molecule: ribosomal RNA, 424 nt
Filed under: uncultured bacterium
Lineage: Bacteria
Description: bacterial SSU rRNA
Rfam family: Bacterial small subunit ribosomal RNA
Source: RNAcentral